Molecule: long non-coding RNA, 1031 nt
Filed under: Erythranthe guttata (spotted monkey flower)
Lineage: Eukaryota; Viridiplantae; Streptophyta; Magnoliopsida; Lamiales; Phrymaceae
Description: long non-coding RNA (EGUT_LNC001348)
Source: RNAcentral
ACCCCCUCUGUUCUUUCUUCUUUAGCCUACACCCUCUGUUCUUUCUUCUUUAUCUUCGUACAGUUGGUUAAUUCACCAUUAUUUAGCUGAAGAGGUCUUUUUUGUAUGCCAAGGUUUUAACAAAUAUCAUAUUAACCCCAAUUUAAAUGGAAUUCAGGUAUUGGAAAAUACCUUUCUCAAUGGCGCUUGGAAUUUUUUGUGAGAUUUGUGUUUUUCGUCAUCUUCCUUGCUUUUGCGCUUUUUAAUCCUCGGAUCAUCUUAAUUAGUCAAUCAAACAAACCAAAAAUUCAUAUAAAUAAACCAUAAGUAUAUUCAUACAAUAACUUAGAGACAAUCAGUAAAGCCAAUGCCGAUUUCAACGGACACCAGCGAAGCAGAUGAACCAACAAAGGAGAACACAAAAGUAUUUGGGCUAAAGAGAAUUAAUUAAUAGUAAACAAGAGCAAGGGGAUUCCAUCUAUGCACUUCAAUUUUUAUCUAUGCUCGUUUCACUCUUCAUUUCUUCCUUUAGGGCUUCAUUAUUACACUUCCAUUGAAGCACCAUACCAGAAAACUCCAUAAUUCUGAUUCAGAAAACCUAAUUUAGAUUCAAACACCGAAAAAUUCUUCAAUGAAUUUUGAAAAUUUAAUUAGAUAUCCUUAAUUUAAUUUUGAGGAAAAAAACCUAGUUUACGAACUUUUAGCCAAAACCUUAACAUUAGAUUUCAGAAUUAGAGAGAAGAAAAAUGACAGCGGUGUAGAUGUAGAGGCUCAAAAACUCCAGUUUACGCACUUCUAACCAAAAUCCUAACAUUCGAUUGCAGAUUGGGAGAGAAAAAAAAUGACAGAUGAGCAGAGGUAGAGAGGCUAGAGUUAGAGAUUAACAACAAAAUUACCUUACUUGAAUCGAUUGAGAGGCUAGUGGUGACGGAGGCGGCGGAAGGCUGGCGGUGGUGGCGGAGGCGACAUGCGAAACGCUGGCGGAGGUGGCGGAGGCGACAAGCGAAACGAGAGAGGGAGUGGAAGGAAAAUGGCGAGAGAAAAAUAACAAC